UGGUGCAGUCGCGAAAACAGGUUCGAAAGAUCGUUUUUGAGGAAAGUCCGAGCUCCCAUGGGCAAGAAUAGCGGAUAACGUCCGCCGGAGGCAACUCUAGGGAAAGUGCAACAGAAAAGAACAGCAGCAAUGCAAAGGUGAAAAGGCGGGGUAAGAGCCCACCGGGGUUAUGGAGACAUAACCCGUCCGUGUAAACCCUAUUCGGAGCAAUACCGCAAAAAAGACAUCAGUGCGCCCAUCACGUCUUAUAGGUAGCUGGAGGUAUAUGGCAACAUAUAUUCGAGAUAGAUGACUGCAACGGGAUUUUCCCGGACAGAACUCGGCUUAUAAGCUUG
Molecule: RNase P RNA, 335 nt
Filed under: human gut metagenome
Description: Bacterial RNase P class A
Rfam family: Bacterial RNase P class A
About the family: Ribonuclease P (RNase P) is a ubiquitous endoribonuclease, found in archaea, bacteria and eukarya as well as chloroplasts and mitochondria. Its best characterised activity is the generation of mature 5'-ends of tRNAs by cleaving the 5'-leader elements of precursor-tRNAs.
Source: RNAcentral